GUCUACGGCCAUGCUACCCUGAACAAGCCCGAUCCCAUCUAAUCUCAGAAACUAAGCAGGGUCGGGCCCGGUUAGUACUAACUUGGAUGGGAGACCACCUAGGAAGACCAGGUGCUGUAGGUG
RNAcentral lists this ribosomal RNA (123 nucleotides) under Pteropus alecto (black flying fox). Lineage: Eukaryota; Metazoa; Chordata; Mammalia; Chiroptera; Pteropodidae. The record is from RNAcentral.